GGGCCGGUAGCUCAGCCCGGAAGAGCGCCCGGUUGGCAUCCGGGAGGUCCCGGGUUCAAAUCCCGGCCGGUCCA
RNAcentral lists this transfer RNA (74 nucleotides) under Staphylothermus marinus. RNAcentral's name for it is "tRNA-Ala". It matches the Rfam family "tRNA". Rfam says of the family: Transfer RNA (tRNA) molecules are approximately 80 nucleotides in length. Their secondary structure includes four short double-helical elements and three loops (D, anti-codon, and T loops). The record is from RNAcentral. Lineage: Archaea; Thermoproteati; Thermoproteota; Thermoprotei; Desulfurococcales; Desulfurococcaceae. RNAcentral also lists the same sequence under 1 other name.